GCUAAGAAAACUUACUGGCUAGCAUUGAAAACUGGAAAUAUCCAAAAUGCAUUGUGGCAAGACAACAAUAGAUACAAAGAUGCCUCCCAUGUUGGUGAAAGGAGUCUUGCUGAGCUCAACUAUCCGUGUAAAGAGGAGGGUUGGACUGUCUCAGUGGGAGACAAGUAAAGAAUGAAGUCAGUCCUCUGUCUGUUUGUCCAAAAUGGAUUGAUUGAUUUGAUUGAUUGAUUAAACUUUAUAUACAUUUAA
Clarias gariepinus (North African catfish) is the source of this 249-nucleotide long non-coding RNA. RefSeq lists it as uncharacterized. The record is from RefSeq and is a predicted model, not a curated record. The transcript is spliced from 2 exons. Lineage: Eukaryota; Metazoa; Chordata; Actinopteri; Siluriformes; Clariidae.